Molecule: long non-coding RNA, 3152 nt
Filed under: Lactuca sativa (garden lettuce)
Lineage: Eukaryota; Viridiplantae; Streptophyta; Magnoliopsida; Asterales; Asteraceae
Description: long non-coding RNA (LSAT_LNC000161)
Source: RNAcentral
AAGUUAUGAUUUUUCCGAAGUUUCGACUUAGCAGUAUGCAGCCUGAAUCCUCGAUUUGAGAUCGAUUGAUUUUUAGCCGAAACAAUCUAAACGAGAAUCGAAGAUCUCGUUAAUAGUAGUGAAACGAUAAAAAGAUAGGCGAAAACGGACGUCAGAUGAAGAAGUUAUGAAUUUAUAACGGAGUUUUCCUGUCCCGGCCUACUAAAAAUAAUAUAAAAGUAAUAUAUUAAUAAUAUAUUAAAUUUAAAGUCAAAAUUAGCCAACGGAGUCUAAACGAGAGUUUUAGAGCAUAGUCUCACCUACGCGUGCAUAUAAAUAACGUCGAAAAUGGAGUUCGUAUAUGAAAGUUAUGAAUUUCUGAAGUUCGGGGCGCGAAACCCCAAAACUAUCAGCCACCACGACGUGGUAAAAGUGCCACGACGUGGCACGUGCUCUAGAGUCUGUCAGACCCACUUGCAAUGACAAACGCAGUGACGACCAUCCACCACGACGUGGUAAACCGUACCACGACGUGGCAAAGGCUAAUUUUGCCCUAUAAAUAGAUUUGAAAGGCUAGCCGAGUUAGGUUGCUCAAAUUCUCUCCUCUCACUCAUAUUACCUCGAUUUACGUGCAAAGAAGUACCCCCGAAGCCCCGAUAUCAUCCCGAGACCCGAAGCAAGUCCCGAAGCUCGAAGAUCCCGCGAAGAAAAGAGUUUCCGAGCCGAAGCUCUGCCCAUAAGAAGCUCGGUGUGUGAAGAUAUUCCUGUUUCACCGGAGAAUACUACUCUUAGAGCUGUAGUGUUGUCCGAUCAUCUUCUGAUCAAGUGAGUGUAUAGUCCCUUUCAUAAACACGAUUUUNGUGUUAUGUGUAUAUUUUGUUGUUAUAUGUGUGAAUGUAUAUUCACUUUCUUCUAUCUCAUAGAUAUGAUUUAUUCUCUAUGAAAUACGUGUUAUGUGUAUGUGUCUCAUCUGUUGUUUGGAAUAUGUAUUGAAUGAGAAUGCUAUACAGGUUUUAAACUAUGUAUAAAAAUAUAUAUUUUUAUCUACUAAUAUGUUGGGUAGAACAUGGGUAGAUAGUUGAUGUGUGAUAAACAGAUGAGAGGCCUCGAUGUUGUUGUUGUUGAUCUAGUUAUUCAGCGGAGUAUGGAUAACGACCACAGACUCUUUCUAGACAGUCCUGUGGAACGCUAGCAGGCUCAUAACCUGUAAGUGUUGUGAACGAUGUGUUCACCAGUGUACUCUAUCCCCCUCAUGGUUGCCUUUAGGACAUCUACUGUUGAGGAAACCCCUUUGCAGUAAUGUCCGUCCCGAUGAAAAUCCUAGAUUAGGUCCCUUGAGAUAGAUGUUGUUUUAGGGACGUAAAGUGAGGAUAACGGGAAUGGGUAAUCGAGUUAUUGUUGGUUGGUGAAAUUAAAUAUAAUUAUUUAUUGUGGGUUGAAAACCCUAUAUGCUCACCAGGCUCCCAAGCCUGACCCACUCAGUUUUGUUGUAUUACAGGUAGUGGUGCGAGAGCAUAAGUUGGAUGACUUAUCAAGAUCUUUUGAUAUUAGACCAGUUGUUAUAUGUAACUAUUGUAUGGUCUAUCUUUUGUUGUUUAUGCUUUUGGUUUGUUUAUAGGAACAUGACAUCCCGAGUAUUGUUAUAUAAUGAAAAUGCAUAUCUUGAUGAAAUGAUUUGAUAAACUUUAUUUUAUCAUAUUUUGUUUUGGGAACAAAUUCCGCAACUCUUUUAAAUCAAUGGAUUUACUCUGAAAUUAUUUUAAAAGCAUAAAUUAAAACGGUCUUUUCUGGUCGUGAUUUUUGGGGAUGUCACAUUUAUAGACUUAAUUUAUUUUUCUUCUUCGUACCCUGGUUUGCGUCCCUCUCACUGCAUAUGUGAUAAUUGCAACAAUCGUCACCGACCACCGAUUGUAAAAGAACUCGGAAAAUGAUAAGUAUCUAAGCACAAGACUUAGAGUCUCAAUAUAUAAGAGAAAAUCGUCCAAAUUAUGUGUAAAUCGCAUAAUCCCGUGCGCUAAAAGUUGCGUUAAUUAGUGUGAAAAAAUAACAUAUUAGGAAAGUAUGUUAUAAGACGAUUUCAAGGAUGUAAAUUUCGAAAAAAUCUAACUUUGAUUGAGAUUUUUGUAGGAAAUAAAAUCAAGCGCGUACAUAAAUUUUUGUAGGAAAUAAAAUCAAGCGCGUACAUAAAUUUUUGUAGGAAAUAAAAUCAUGCGCGUAUGUUAUAAUGAGUUAAGAUUUUUUUAGGAAAUAAAAUCAAGCGCGUACAUAAAUUUUACAACGUCAAAAUAAUACUAAGACAUUGGUUAAAUUUUGGCUAAUGUCAUCAAAAGGAAAGUCGUAAUAUUUCUCAAGUGGAGAACAAUAGUACAACAAACGCUGAAAACGGAGAAGAAUAUAAGAUUUUUACCUCGUUAGGCAAAAAGGUGAAAGUCAAAAUUAGCUUAAACAACCCAAAGGUAAGUUGUAGUACUAAUUGAGACCAUUUUGUAGAUAUAAAGAAUGUAAAGAUUAGAACUUGUGUAACACCCCAAUUCUGGUAUGAUAUUUAUAUUUAUUAUUUUUCAAGCUUCUGAAGGGACCCGACAAGUCGGUAGCCAGACUCAUCGAGUUGGGUCGGGAUUUCGAGCACGUUUAAGUUGGCGACUCGACGAGUCCAUAUUCCGGAAUCGGCGAGUCCGCCAGUCUGGAUGAAACCCUAAAUUCAAGGGUUUGCACCCUAUUUAAACAACUUUUGGGGCCUCAAGUCAGCCCCCAUCACCCCUCAGAGCACCAUCCUCAAAACCCUAGAACCCUCUUAGCAUUUUGUGUGAUUUGGUGUGUUUCUUUGAAGAUUUUGAGAGAAGAAGGAAGGUAGACCAAGAGGAAAAGAAGGAGAUCCUAGAUCCUUAUGGAAUUACAGAGUUUAGUAAGGUAUAUCUUGGCUCUUUUCUGUUUCCAUGCUUAAAUCCCCUUUUUAAAGACAUUAAAGCUAUUCUUGAACCAUUUCUUGGUUUGGUAGUAGCAUAGAGGACUCAUUGAGAUGUUUAGCCUUUGGAUCUAGCUAGGUUUGAGUUCCAGAAGCUUAGAUCUAGUACCUUUAUGGAGCCAUUUUGCAUGAAAGCUCUAGAUCUACUCUUAUAGUGUGCUUUGAACCCUAAAACCUUAAUUUGAUGUUAUUUACACGUAAAGUUGGA